RNAcentral lists this ribosomal RNA (482 nucleotides) under uncultured bacterium. RNAcentral's name for it is "partial 16S ribosomal RNA". It matches the Rfam family "Bacterial small subunit ribosomal RNA", at positions 30 to 507 of the family's 1533-position model. The record is from RNAcentral.
AUUGAACGCUGGCGGCAUGCUUUACACAUGCAAGUCGAACGGUAACAGGCCGCAAGGUGCUGACGAGUGGCGAACGGGUGAGUAAUGCAUCGGAACGUGCCCAGUCGUGGGGGAUAACUACUCGAAAGAGUAGCUAAUACCGCAUACGAUCUAUGGAUGAAAGCGGGGGACCGUAAGGCCUCGCGCGAUUGGAGCGGCCGAUGUCAGAUUAGGUAGUUGGUGGGGUAAAGGCUCACCAAGCCAACGAUCUGUAGCUGGUCUGAGAGGACGACCAGCCACACUGGGACUGAGACACGGCCCCGACCCCUAAGGGAGGCCGGAGUGGGGAAUUUUGGACAAUGGGGGGAAGCCUGAUCCAGCAAUGCCGCGUGCAGGAAGAAGGCCUUCGGGUUGUAAACUGCUUUUGUACGGAAAGAAACGGCUCUGGUUAAUACCCGGGGCUAAUGACGGUACCGUAAGAAUAAGCACCGGCUAACUACGUG